This 62-nucleotide transfer RNA is filed under the name Candidatus Portnoybacteria bacterium CG23_combo_of_CG06-09_8_20_14_all_44_36. RNAcentral's name for it is "tRNA-Gly". It matches the Rfam family "tRNA", at positions 5 to 66 of the family's 71-position model. From Rfam's summary of the family: Transfer RNA (tRNA) molecules are approximately 80 nucleotides in length. Their secondary structure includes four short double-helical elements and three loops (D, anti-codon, and T loops). The record is from RNAcentral. Lineage: Bacteria; Candidatus Portnoyibacteriota.
GUGUAGCUUAGUGGUAAAGCAUCUGCUUCCCAAGCAGACGACAGGAGUUCGAUUCUCCUUAC